This is a long non-coding RNA of Hippopotamus amphibius kiboko, 477 nucleotides long. RefSeq lists it as uncharacterized. The record is from RefSeq and is a predicted model, not a curated record. The transcript is spliced from 3 exons. Lineage: Eukaryota; Metazoa; Chordata; Mammalia; Artiodactyla; Hippopotamidae.
GGGACCUCAACCACAGGUUCCCCAGCAGAUGGAAAUUGAUUUCCUGGUUGGGGGCCAGCCUUACGUUGCAGUUGAUGGAGACUACAUCAGAGUUGCUGUGAUUCUGAAAGAGAAGCCACCUCACCCCACCCAAGUUCAAGUCUUCAGUAAAGUACACUACACUCCAAAGAUGCUCUGUGUGAGGCCCUCGUUUGGGGAAAUAAAAUGAAAACAGCUAAGAUUUUUAUUUGGUGACAGAAACCAAGACAAAAAGGGACAUCUCCUAGCCUCCCUUACAGCUGCAUCACACUGUUCUGGACAAUGAGAGGUGACUGGAAGUGAGAGGAACUGCCAAGAAGGUUCCUCAGUAGGAGGGGUCUGGUCUGCUCUUCUCCUCUUCCUUCUUCUUGGAAUAAGAACGUGAUGCCUGGAGCUGCAGCCACCUCGGACUAUGAGGUGAACUUGAGAGGCUGAUAACCACAUGUUGAGGAUGGUGGA